Molecule: ribosomal RNA, 516 nt
Filed under: uncultured bacterium
Lineage: Bacteria
Description: bacterial SSU rRNA
Rfam family: Bacterial small subunit ribosomal RNA
Source: RNAcentral
UAGUCCACGCCCUAAACGAUGCUUACUCGCUGUUUGGAUUUAAUCUGAGCGGCUAAGGGAAACCAUUAAGUAAGCCACCUGGGGAGUACGUUCGCAAGAAUGAAACUCAAAGGAAUUGACGGGGCCCGCACAAGCGGUGGAGCAUGUGGUUUAAUUCGAUGAUACGCGAGGAACCUUACCAGGGCUUAAAUGUAGUCUGACAGCUUUAGAGAUAGAGUUUUCUUCGGACAGAUUACAAGGUGCUGCAUGGUUGUCGUCAGCUCGUGCCGUGAGGUGUCAGGUUAAGUCCUAUAACGAGCGCAACCCCUAUUUUCAGUUGCCAGCGAGUAAUGUCGGGGACUCUGGAAAAACUGCCACCGUAAGGUGAGAGGAAGGUGGGGAUGACGUCAAAUCAUCACGGCCCUUACGUCCUGGGGCUACACACGUGCUACAAUGGCCGGUACAGAGGGGCAGCCAUCCCGCGAGGGAGAGCGAAUCUCCAAAACCGGUCUCAGUUCGGAUUGAAGUCUGCAACUC